AAAGUCGUAACAAGGUUUCCGUAGGUGAACCUGCGGAAGGAUCAUUAACACGUAUCCAACGUUAACCCCCCUGUGAACCUUCAGUGUGCUCGUACGCUUUGUUAGAAAGUAGCAAUCCCUGGUAAAUCAUCGCCAAACAGUUUUCGAUUCAGGGAUGUCUGCGAAGAGUGUGCAUGUUGCGCGAGGUAAGUGGCCUGGCAUCCCCAAGUAGUUAUUGUCUGAAAGUGUCAUUAACUGCGUAAGGAUGGCGCAGUCACGAUCGUUGGAGGCCGACACGGCCGACGACCGGGUCACCGGGCUCACGCCCCCUUAUCACAAAACCCAUGCAUGAAGACGCGCCUGCGCUAAAACCGCGGCGACCAAAAACCGAACAACUGUUAACAAUGGAUAUCUUGGUUCUC
This 401-nucleotide unclassified non-coding RNA is filed under the name Cercozoa sp. RNAcentral's name for it is "partial contains small subunit ribosomal RNA, internal transcribed spacer 1, and 5.8S ribosomal RNA". The stretch from base 1 to 47 matches the Rfam family "Eukaryotic small subunit ribosomal RNA", at positions 1785 to 1831 of the family's 1831-position model. The record is from RNAcentral. Lineage: Eukaryota; Cercozoa.